RNAcentral lists this small RNA (29 nucleotides) under Bombyx mori (domestic silkworm). RNAcentral's name for it is "ovarian small RNA-32752". Lineage: Eukaryota; Metazoa; Arthropoda; Insecta; Lepidoptera; Bombycidae. The record is from RNAcentral.
UGAUCUUGAGCUUUCUUUAAAGCGUCUGC